GAACGCUGGCGGCGUGCUUAACACAUGCAAGUCGAACGAUGAUGCCCAGCUUGCUGGGUUGAUUAGUGGCGAACGGGUGAGUAACACGUGAGUAACCUGCCCCUGACUCUGGGAUAAGCGUUGGAAACGACGUCUAAUACUGGAUAUGAUCGCCGGCCGCAUGGUCUGGUGGUGGAAAGAUUUUUUGGUUGGGGAUGGACUCGCGGCCUAUCAGCUUGUUGGUGAGGUAAUGGCUCACCAAGGCGACGACGGGUAGCCGGCCUGAGAGGGUGACCGGCCACACUGGGACUGAGACACGGCCCAGACUCCUACGGGAGGCAGCAGUGGGGAAUAUUGCACAAUGGGCGAAAGCCUGAUGCAGCAACGCCGCGUGAGGGAUGACGGCCUUCGGGUUGUAAACCUCUUUUAGUAGGGAAGAAGCGAAAGUGACGGUACCUGCAGAAAAAGCACCGGCUAACUACGUGCCAGCAGCCGCGGUAAUACGUAGGGUGCAAGCGUUGUCCGGAAUUAUUGGGCGUAAAGAGCUCGUAGGCGGUUUGUCGCGUCUGCUGUGAAAUCCCGAGGCUCAACCUCGGGCUUGCAGUGGGUACGGGCAGACUAGAGUGCGGUAGGGGAGAUUGGAAUUCCUGGUGUAGCGGUGGAAUGCGCAGAUAUCAGGAGGAACACCGAUGGCGAAGGCAGAUCUCUGGGCCGUAACUGACGCUGAGGAGCGAAAGCGUGGGGAGCGAACAGGAUUAGAUACCCUGGUAGUCCACGCCGUAAACGUUGGGCGCUAGAUGUAGGGACCUUUCC
This 792-nucleotide ribosomal RNA is filed under the name Curtobacterium sp. RNAcentral describes it as "bacterial SSU rRNA". It matches the Rfam family "Bacterial small subunit ribosomal RNA", at positions 31 to 835 of the family's 1533-position model. Lineage: Bacteria; Bacillati; Actinomycetota; Actinomycetes; Micrococcales; Microbacteriaceae. The record is from RNAcentral.